UACGGGGGGGGCAAGCGUUGUUCGGAAUUACUGGGCGUAAAGGGCUCGUAGGCGGCCAACUAAGUCAGACGUGAAAUCCCUCGGCUUAACCGGGGAACCGCGUCUGAUACUGGAUGGCUUGAGUUUGGGAGAGGGAUGCGGAAUUCCAGGUGUAGCGGUGAAAUGCGUAGAUAUCUGGAGGAACACCGGUGGCGAAGGCGGCAUCCUGGACCAACACUGACACUGAGGAGCGAAAGCCAGGGGAGCAAACGGG
Molecule: ribosomal RNA, 253 nt
Filed under: uncultured bacterium
Lineage: Bacteria
Description: partial 16S ribosomal RNA
Rfam family: Bacterial small subunit ribosomal RNA
Source: RNAcentral